This 532-nucleotide long non-coding RNA is filed under the name Paramuricea clavata. Lineage: Eukaryota; Metazoa; Cnidaria; Anthozoa; Malacalcyonacea; Plexauridae. The record is from RNAcentral.
UUUAAAGGGAAAUGGCAAUAUAUUUUUUUAUUUUCUCAUUUGAAAGAACUUUUGAAACUAUUUAAUAACUUCUUUUACCGAUUCUUCAUAUCUUGCUUAGUUCUUGAAAUAUUUUCACUUGAAGUAACGAGAUGUCAGCCAUCUUGGAUAACAUUUUGAUCUCAUUAACGGUAGUUUUGGUGACGUCACAACAGGGAUUAACCAUAUAAAAGUAUUCGUUACUGACCAAAUAAUGAUUGGUAGAUGUUUUAAACGUUUCAAGUGAUCUUGAUAUUUCCAAUGGCAUGCAGAGUAUAAUUUUGAGUGCAAAAUGAUUAGUGAUUGUCUAGAUAAAAAUAUUGCGUGACCCCUGUUGUGACGUAACAUGCAUAUCCACAAAAAUCCAAGAUGGCGGACAUUUCAUUUCUUUCGAUUAAAAUAUUUGUAGAAGUAAGCAAGAUAUGAAAAAACGGUAAAAGAGUUUUAUAUAUAGUUUUAAAUGUUCUUUCAAACGAGAAAAUAAAAAAAUAUAUUGCCAUUUCCCUUUAAGAAU